This 84-nucleotide transfer RNA is filed under the name Candidatus Omnitrophota bacterium. RNAcentral describes it as "Candidatus Omnitrophica bacterium tRNA-Leu". It matches the Rfam family "tRNA". Rfam says of the family: Transfer RNA (tRNA) molecules are approximately 80 nucleotides in length. Their secondary structure includes four short double-helical elements and three loops (D, anti-codon, and T loops). Lineage: Bacteria; Pseudomonadati; Candidatus Omnitrophota. The record is from RNAcentral.
GCCGGAGUGGUGGAAUUGGUAGACGCGCCAGACUCAAAAUCUGGUAUUCUUCGGAAUGUGGGGGUUCGAGUCCCCCCUCCGGCA